Molecule: transfer-messenger RNA, 388 nt
Filed under: Candidatus Peribacteria bacterium
Lineage: Bacteria; Candidatus Peregrinibacteriota; Candidatus Peribacteria
Rfam family: transfer-messenger RNA
About the family: Bacterial tmRNA, also known as 10Sa RNA or SsrA, is named for its dual tRNA and mRNA-like properties. Its role is to liberate the mRNA from a stalled ribosome.
Source: RNAcentral
GGGGGUGACUUUGGAUUUGAUAGAAGGAAUCCAUACCUAUUGAUAGCCACUGCUGCAUGGUUCUCCAGCAUAAUCACGAACCAAAACCAAAAUGCUAACGCAUGAAAAUCUCUCCUUGCGAGAGCUAAAGCAUUUGUUGCUACUCCAGCUUACUGCUAGUAUAGCACCGCUUUAGUACCAACCUCUACGUUUGACUCCUCCUAUGCGUAUAGGUGUUUUAAGGAGGAACCCCAUAGUUGUACUAGUGCAUACUCCAAAUGAGUUUGUCCUUUCCCUCUGAAGUUCCUACUAGUAUAACUCUAAAAAGCAGGUUAGAAAAAGCACUAUAGUGGUAGACAUCAAAAGAUAUGCCUUUUAGACCGGAGUUCAAUUCUCCGCACCUCCAAAA